This 447-nucleotide ribosomal RNA is filed under the name uncultured bacterium. Its description in RNAcentral is "partial 16S ribosomal RNA". It matches the Rfam family "Bacterial small subunit ribosomal RNA", at positions 29 to 523 of the family's 1533-position model. The record is from RNAcentral.
AACGAACGCUGGCGGCAGGCUUAACACAUGCAAGUCGAACGCAUCGCAAGAUGAGUGGCAGACGGGUGAGGAACACGUGGGAACAUCCCUUUCAGUUCGGAAUAACUCAGGGAAACUUGAGCUAAUACCGGAUACGUCCGUGAGGAGAAAGAUUUAUCGCUGAAAGAUUGGCCCGCGUCUGAUUAGCUAGUUGGAGAGGUAAUGGCUCACCAAGGCUACGAUCAGUAGCUGAUCUGAGAGGAUGAUCAGCCACAUUGGGACUGAGAAACGGCCCAAACUCCUACGGGAGGCAGCAGUGGGGAAUAUUGGACAAUGGGCGCAAGCCUGAUCCAGCCAUGCCGCGUGAGUGAUGAAGGCCUUCGGGUUGUAAGGCUCUUUUGUCCGGGAAGAUAAUGACUGUACCGGAAGAAUAAGCCCCGGCAAACUUCGUGCCAGCCGCCGCAGUAA